Prunus mume (Japanese apricot) is the source of this 604-nucleotide long non-coding RNA. RefSeq lists it as uncharacterized. The record is from RefSeq and is a predicted model, not a curated record. NCBI's taxonomy places the organism in Eukaryota, Viridiplantae, Streptophyta, Magnoliopsida, Rosales, Rosaceae.
UUAGAUUUCUGCAUAUUUGUCUUUUGGUUUUGAUGUUUUAUGCUUAUUUGACUUUGAUAAUUCCCAGGCUCAUGUAUGUGUACUAGUUUCGAUGAUAGAGCAUAAUAUAGGUUUCGAUCUGUGUGGCAGAUCUGUUUCUUUUUUAUGUGUAGUGCAGACACGCACUGAUAUCUUGUGCAACCAGCUUGAAAAAGAUGAGCUUAAACUGAACUCAAAGGUUUUGUCACUAUCUUACAGUCAGGCUCAUGAAGAGACAUGGUGCUAAACAUGGAGAUUACUAUUGAAGAUUUGAAUGCUUCUCAAUCAAGACUAAUUUUUGUGAAUUACUUGUUUUGAUUUGGAUUUUCUUUUAACUUCGAAAAUAUGCAGAUUGUGAUUGAGAUUACUCUCACAAUCUGCUAUGGACUGUAAAUAAUGAUUUCUGUGAUUGAGAUCAUCCACCAAAUAUGCAAAUUGUGAUUGAGAUUACUCUCACAAUUUGCUAUGGACUGUAAUUAUUAAUUUCUGUAUUUUGAGAUGUGUGGUGGAUGAUUUGCUAUGGUUUUAAGGUUUUUUUUAAGUAUUUGAAUGAUGAAAAAACUUUAGAUAUGCAGAGUUGGAGAAA